This 425-nucleotide ribosomal RNA is filed under the name uncultured bacterium. RNAcentral's name for it is "partial 16S ribosomal RNA". It matches the Rfam family "Bacterial small subunit ribosomal RNA", at positions 354 to 796 of the family's 1533-position model. The record is from RNAcentral.
GUGGGGAAUCUUAGACAAUGGGCGCAAGCCUGAUCUAGCCAUGCCGCGUGAGCGAUGAAGGCCUUAGGGUUGUAAAGCUCUUUCAGUGGGGAAGAUAAUGACUGUACCCACAGAGGAAGCCCCGGCUAACUCCGUGCCAGCAGCCGCGGUAAUACGGAGGGGGCUAGCGUUGUUCGGAAUUACUGGGCGUAAAGCGCACGUAGGCGGACUGGAAAGUCAGGGGUGAAAUCCCGGGGCUCAACCCAGGAACUGCCUGUGAAACGACCAGUCUUGAGGUCGAGAGAGGUGAGUGGAAUGCCGAGGGUAGAGGUGAAAUUCGUAGAUAUUCGGAGGAACACCAGUGGCGAAGGCGGCUCACUGGCUCGAUACUGACGCUGAGGUGCGAAAGCGUGGGGAGCAAACAGGAUUAGAUACCCGUGUAGUCC